UGCGGCACUCGGGAACUCUGCUGAGCUGGGCAGUUCGCGCAGCCCGAGCUGCCCGAGCGUGUCAUUGUGUGCGGGCGGCGGGCGGCCACUGCACCAGCCGCUCAACUUUGCCGCUCGCCCCCUCCACCUCCCGCCCGCGGCCGAGAGACCCCGGCCCCGGAGGAAGCCCCGCGCGCCCCGAAGCUCAGCGCGCCCGCUCGGGUCUCCAGAGAGAACAUCGCCUUCCAGCCCCUGGCAAAGGAAAGGAGGAUGCCUUCCAGUUGGAGAGGAGAGAUGGGAAGGGGCCCAGAUCUAACGGGCACCAGAGAGAAGAGGCCAGCUGCUGACCCAGAGGGGCUCGACUCAUUGUGGGCAUUCGAAGGAAAGACAUCUGACCGGCUACCCUUCAUGGACUCGGUUUCCACCUUCUGCUAAUCGCUAGGCUCUUACAGAAGAUCCCAGAGCACAAGAAGGCGGCGUGGGGAGGCUGGCCGGCCAGCUGUGAGUGUUUCUUUGGCAGUGUCUUAGCUGGUUGUUGUGAGUAAUAGAUGAGGAAGCAAUCAGCAAGUAUACUGCCCUAGAAGUGCUACACGUUGUUAGGCCUGUGAGGAUGGACGGGGCCAGCCUGGGACCCCAUCGUCGGAGACCUGGACCCCGCAGCCUGAGCUCAAGAAGGAACCGUUCAGGUCCCUUAGGUAAGUGCUUCCUGGUGAAGAGUGAGGAAGGCGGCGGAUGUGGGCGCUCUCCGGAGAGGUCUCAUUCAGCUAGAAGAAUGUGGAAAGAACGCUGGACUUGAGGACACAGAGGACAUGAGUUCGAAUCCUCUCCUGGGGACUUACCAGUUGUAUGACUUGUUUGAGUAAGUUGUUUCUGUCCCAGACUUUUGUUUUCUGGUGUGUAAAAUGAGCAGGGACCAAAUGGUAUCAAUGUUCCUUCUAGCUCUGAAUCCUGUGGUGCUGAAAGUGUCAGUCAUAGAAAUAAAAGGGACAAGGAAGGAAGGAAAGAGGGAGGGAGGGAGAAAGGGAAAAAAAGG
Antechinus flavipes (yellow-footed antechinus) is the source of this 1012-nucleotide long non-coding RNA. RefSeq lists it as uncharacterized. The transcript is spliced from 3 exons. NCBI's taxonomy places the organism in Eukaryota, Metazoa, Chordata, Mammalia, Dasyuromorphia, Dasyuridae. The record is from RefSeq and is a predicted model, not a curated record.